This 503-nucleotide ribosomal RNA is filed under the name uncultured bacterium. RNAcentral's name for it is "partial 16S ribosomal RNA". It matches the Rfam family "Bacterial small subunit ribosomal RNA", at positions 30 to 523 of the family's 1533-position model. The record is from RNAcentral.
AUUGAACGCUGGCGGCAGGCUUAACACAUGCAAGUCGAGCGGGGUGAUGGUGCUUGCACUAUCACUUAGCGGCGGACGGGUGAGUAAUGCUUAGGAAUCUGCCUAUUAGUGGGGGACAACAUCUCGAAAGGGAUGCUAAUACCGCAUACGUCCUACGGGAGAAAGCAGGGGAUCACCUGUGACCUUGCGCUAAUAGAUGAGCCUAAGUCGGAUUAGCUAGUUGGUGGGGUAAAGGCCUACCAAGGCGACGAUCUGUAGCGGGUCUGAGAGGAUGAUCCGCCACACUGGGACUGAGACACGGCCCAGACUCCUACGGGAGGCAGCAGUGGGGAAUAUUGGACAAUGGGGGGAACCCUGAUCCAGCCAUGCCGCGUGUGUGAAGAAGGCCUUAUGGUUGUAAAGCACUUUAAGCGAGGAGGAGGCUCUUUUGGUUAAUACCCAAGAUGAGUGGACGUUACUCGCAGAAUAAGCACCGGCUAACUCUGUGCCAGCCGCCGCCGUAA